RNAcentral lists this ribosomal RNA (290 nucleotides) under Salmonella enterica. Its description in RNAcentral is "partial 16S ribosomal RNA". It matches the Rfam family "Bacterial small subunit ribosomal RNA", at positions 155 to 447 of the family's 1533-position model. RNAcentral also lists the same sequence under 3 other names. Lineage: Bacteria; Pseudomonadati; Pseudomonadota; Gammaproteobacteria; Enterobacterales; Enterobacteriaceae. The record is from RNAcentral.
AACGGUGGCUAAUACCGCAUAACGUCGCAAGACCAAAGAGGGGGACCUUCGGGCCUCUUGCCAUCAGAUGUGCCCAGAUGGGAUUAGCUUGUUGGUGAGGUAACGGCUCACCAAGGCGACGAUCCCUAGCUGGUCUGAGAGGAUGACCAGCCACACUGGAACUGAGACACGGUCCAGACUCCUACGGGAGGCAGCAGUGGGGAAUAUUGCACAAUGGGCGCAAGCCUGAUGCAGCCAUGCCGCGUGUAUGAAGAAGGCCUUCGGGUUGUAAAGUACUUUCAGCGGGGAGG